GGCUGCACGGGCUCUCCUCUCUCCCUCGCCUCCUGAUCCCAGCCACCAGGAGGCCCGCGGCCCGCGCGGCGCUCGAUCCGGUGACCGCCGGCCGCCGGACGACGCCGGUAAUGGCAGCACCCUGCACCACCGUUCCACCUUAGCUCCCCCUCUGCCCCGCGUCCGCAUGCCCGAGCUCCUCCUCUCUCCCGCGCGCCCAAGCUCCUUGUUGUGCGCCGCCCAGGAGGGCUUGCGCUCGCCGCUCGACCAGAGCCACCGCGAGCUGGGCGUCGUUGCACUUGUCGGCGACCUGGCCGUCCCCUCUGCACCGCCCUCCACCUCAAAUUUGGACGAGCAUGUGUUUGUGUAUGUUCUCAGUUAUUUUUUGCACACAAGGUGUUUGUGUGUUUGUCCGAGCCAGUUUCAGUCACAGAUCCUUAAGGUAAACUCUCACAUGAAUACAUCAUGAGACUAAAUCUCCUUCCAUAUGAUUCAAAGCAUGUUAUGAUGGUGGGAGUGAACCAGGUUACUAGAAUAAUGGUUUGCUAAUUAAUUUACAUCAUGUGGAGUCUCAAGACACAUGGGUACGCCGACUCCUAUUGCUUGACAAAUGUAUAUCUGCAGAUUUUCUUUAAUUGUAUGAAGAAGUUACAGUUAGGUGUUGACCUUUUUUUUUGCCUAGACACAUCACCUCCAUGCACCUUUUUUCCGUUUAUCUUUGUUGCGCCUUUUUAGUUUUAAUUGUUGUUUACCUUCAUCCGACCAAAUUGAGCUAUCGGAGGUGCUGCGAUCUUUUGGCAAACAUGCUCUAUAUUCUAUGGUUUGGCAUCUACAGGAUGCCAUCUCAGGUCAUGGAUCCACUGUGGCCGCUUCGUCCUUCACUGAGGACCUUCUCAUCCCCACAGAGAUCAGAGGUUAUGACUAUGUCAUAGGUGACGUGUGGAAAGAUGACCAACAAGGAGAAGAUUGCAUGAAGAAUUCUUGCUAUCAACUAGGGCUGGAUGCCCCCAGGAAGAAUACUGAAAGGAGAGCAGAGUUCAGGGCAUGUUCAGCUCCAUCCAUGCAUCAAGGGAAAUAUAUACGAGGCAAAGGAAUUACGUGUUCUGCUAGAUGACAUAGUACAAGGUUCAGCAGCGACGACAUGAUCUCAAACAUGGCACUGAGUACAAGGCAAAGUUAUGUGGUGGGUCGGAUGGAGAGCUUGGCGCGGCGAUGUGGCAGGCUUCUCUACAGUGGCACUAAUGGAGAGCUCGGUCAACGAUGACGGGGCGACCGACUGAUCUGCGGCAGCGUGGAAGGAGGGCUCGGCGGUCGACACGGUGGCUUGAUCCGCUGUUCUGCGACGUUUCGAAGAACUUCUUGUACUGGUGUGUGUGUGUAUGCAUAGGUGCUGUACUAUCCUGGGCGCUCACUCCCCCAGGAUCCCACAAGUUUGCAUAGAGCUCGGACGUCGGUGGCGGCCUGGCACGCUAAUCUGCCGCCUCCACAUGAGGAGUCGUGAGAUUAGUGCAUCACAUUCAAAAGUCACCGCUCCGUGAUUAGGGCAUUGCAUUCAGGCAUUCAGUAGAUUAGAAGACAUAUUUAGCUAGCACUGGGAUCCAUCGCCAUUGUAGGGCCUUGAAUCUUUUCAAUCCUUGCCAGGACAGUUCUUGCCAUGGACGACGGGUCUCUCUGUGUGGUCUUGGUCCAAAAGCUAAAAUAGGGAAUAAGAUGUGCCUUGCCGUGUGGAGUGUUGGGUAUCUUUUGCACUUGCUCCAUCAGCUGCAGAAACUAUAGCCCAAAUGCAGCAUACUGCUACUAUUUCAUAUCAUUGAUUGAUGAUUUGUUUUUUCAUAAUUGAAUUGGCGAAUGAUGAAAAGGUGUAAUGUUCAGGGAUUUUUGCUAGAUGAUUUGUUGAUCCAGUUUAAUUUUAGUAGGCAUCUGGGUACUUU
This is a long non-coding RNA of Triticum dicoccoides, 1910 nucleotides long. RefSeq lists it as uncharacterized. Lineage: Eukaryota; Viridiplantae; Streptophyta; Magnoliopsida; Poales; Poaceae. The record is from RefSeq and is a predicted model, not a curated record. The transcript has 4 exons.